GAAAAGAAAAGAAAAGAAAAGAAAAGAAAAGAAAAGAAAAGAAAAGAAAAGAAAAGAAAAGAAAAAAAGCCCAAAUUAGGCAUCGGAUAUCACGAGUCACAGUGGUACUCAGAGUUCCUUCUGCUGCUACGAAUAGAAAUUACUGUUAAAAGUCUCUCUGAAAAGGUGUCUGUAAUUCAGAAUUUGUUUUAUGUGCAAUUUAAAGUAGCUUAAAUUUAUUUGUUCUCUUUCAGAAGUUAUACUUUAACAUGAAAAACACCGAAGAGCAUAAAUUGUUCUUUAUUUAACAAUUUUAGAUCUGGGAAUAUUUCAUUUAGAUCUAUUCUAGAUUUUACUGCUGGUGUUAACAUGCAGGUAGUAUUCUGUCAUUCUUUCAUUUUUGCAAUGAUCUAACAGUGAAUUUUUCACUGAUGCAACAUGCAGAUAUUAUUCUUUUAUAUGCAUUUCAGUAAAUAUUAAACAAGUAUAUAAAAUAUAUGUAAAGGGUACUGGGAAUUUAGGGCCUACUCUGUAUGCUUAUGAUGGAGGUUGUUGUCCACUCUUCCGAAAGAUGACACUCGAGAAUUCAGAUGACAUGGAAAAUACAGAGGUUUUAAAUAGUGAUACAGCUAAAAUGCAAAACUCAGCCAAUGACAGCAAUAUCCCUUCCAAACUCUUUUUAACAGACACAAACUACUAAAUCCUUUAACUACAGAAUUGAGUCUGACUGACAGCUGAAGAAAAGUACACCUGAUAUUUAGAGAUAAACACUCUCAGUGUCAUAAAAAGGUAUGCCAGAUCUAACCUUCAGCCUGGACUUAGAAUGUCACAGUACAAAGGAAAUAGUUUUGUUUUUAUUCUUUGUCAUUAACAGGCUGGCUGAGCCAGGAGUUGGCUCUAAGAGUUCCUUAAAAAUGAGAGCAAAUAAUGUAAUGUAUUUAUGUCCUAAUCACAAAAAUGCCAGAAUAGUCUGCAUACUUUGUUAAUAGUCCUAAUGCCUUUCCAGGAAGGACAUACAGAGUAGUCUCAUUGGGGUUACUCUUAGUGUUAAAAUCAUGGAUCUGUUAAAUGUGUUAGGAAAUUAUGAUCUUUACUGUAUAAUUAGUAAGAUCUCUUGAUUCUCAUUGCUUAAGAUCCCAGAAGCUGAUAGGAGCUACUUUCUCUAUUUUACAGUGGGUAAGCUUGGGUGCAUGAAGAUAGUCCUGCCAAAGGCCAGGCAGGGAAUCCUUAACAAAGCCCAGAGCCCUUUAAGUUUCAUCUGAGUACUUUAACUUCACAGCAGCAAUUUUUAUCACCCUUUUAAUUUCACUGAAAAAGCCUUUAAAUACUCAAUAUAAUAACAGGUGACUGAAGGAUGAUCUUGAGGUAACUUGAAAGGAGAAGAUUUUUCUGCUUUCCACCUUAAAAAAGCACGGGUAUAUUAAACAAUGAGAACUGACAACAAAGGAGGACUUUAAGGAUUAAUAUGGGCCUCUGGAAAUGAGAUACAAGAUGUUCUGAAGGAUGCUAACCUCUGACUGAACAGGACAGAAGCUCUUCUGAUUCCCUAGUUUGGAUGAGAAAUUGUGUCUGCUCCUCAGAGAAAGAAAAAAAAUGAAGACUGGAGAAGAUGCAGUUAUCCCUUAUCCUCAUGAACCUCAUUUUAGCAGAUAAAAAGAUACUGAGUCUAGAGAGCAGAUGAGCUGGAUCCAUUACCACAUUUGUAUGACUUAUGGUGGUAGAACUGAUUAUGCCUUAUGGCACCAAAAUCUAGUAAUUCUUGCAGACGGCCCUUGUUCACGGUAAUCAGCCUAUUUGAGGGCAUUCUGCUUUUCAGUGUCCUUGUCAAUGCUAGCACAGAGAUAGAAACAUGCUGCUUCAUGCUCAGAGCUCUCUUGGGGCUUUAGUCUCUUCAUUAUGUGUAGUCCAGGUGUGGCCUAUGACAGAGACCUUUGAAGAAACGGUCUAUACAACUUUAUAUAUUUGUUGAUGGGAGGCUUGGGAAGUAGUUCAACAGGAGGAUUUGUGCCUGUAGAAGUUUAUGGGCAUGUUGGUAAUUUGCACCAGGACUUCUGAGCUGCUUGCUAAUAUCCUUGCCAAAAGUCAUGGAGCUCAGAUUUACAUGGAGUAUAUUUGUCAUUAGGAUUGGUAUUCAUCAAAUGUAACCUCGGUAUCUUGUAUCACUAAAUGUUUUGAUGCGAGUUGUUUUAAUUUUUCCAGAGAUAACCCUGGACUUAUCUUUAAAGCACUCAACAUCCAAUCUCCUCCUGUUUUGCCUUUGCUUAGCUCUCAGCUCUCUGUGUUGAGUGUGAUUGGUGACCUUUUUAAAGAAAGGUAUCAUCACUAAAAGUCUCCUCAUUGACAGCAUCCAUACUCUUAUGUUUUGUAGCUAAUGGAUUUUUUACCAUCUAAAAUAUUAUACAAAGUUUUGUCCCAGUAAAAGCUCACAUGCAGCUGUAAAGUGAUGUCUGCAGCUUAAAGGAGUGUCCCCUCUAAGAGUCGCUGGCAUAUGGGUUUUUAUGUAUUAGGGUCUGUAAAUGAGAUACCACUUGCAAAGAUUAACCAUGUUUCAGGGCUGUGUGCCAGAUGGUAAAAGUCAUAUGAGUUGUGGAGUCCUUAGAGAUUUUUUUUUUUUAGUUUGUUUUUGUUUAUCAUAGAGAAUAUGCUUCUGGGUUCAUAAAGUUUCAGCAUGUUCUUUCUAACGCGUCAUGGAGAAAGAAGUAUUAACUCUAUCCUGAAUCCAGGCCACCGACAGCUAUAAAAAUAGCCUUUAAAAGAGGAGGUAGGCAGCCUAUUUCCUGGGAGAAAAAAAUAGCGGUUUUAAAAUACUUUCUGUGUUGAUGCUAAAAUUAAUGGGUUGUUAUUGUUAUUCUCUGAAAUGAUCUAUUCAGAAGAUAAAGCAAUAUUUUUUGAAACGAAUGUAUUUAAAUACUCUGCUCACGCUGUUUGCCUGGUAAUGUAGUAUUGUUCUUACUACAAUGAACUACGCGUGCUUGGGUGUAAGCUUGCAUUCAAAUAGUACCACAGAGCAGCUUCCCCAGUCAGAUAUACAAAUAACUGGAGAUAUGUGAAAGCCAUGGUGAUGUGAGGCCACAGGCCAGGCAAGCCAAUGCAAGUCAUGGCACACAGCCAGCUUUAACAAGACUCUUCAGUGUACCCUGCUUGGGAGUAAGGCUUGCUGUGUAUGGUCUCUAGGAAGGUGAUGAACCCAUGAUUUUUAGCACAGAUAAAAAGGACACACCAUAAGUUAUCUAAUUGGACAGCAGAAUUUCCAUUUUCUUUGCUUGUGGAAAUUUACCUAACAACAACCUCCAUGUUGGAAAGCAGGCAGCAGCCACACAAGGUCGGUGGAGAUGCAGGAUGGAAGGGACCUUGAAGGCAGUGAGGCCCAGGCCGGCCUCGUGUGGGACGAACCGCAGCCCGUACCGCUUCCAUUGCCCGUAAUACGGAGGUUUGCCCUCGUCGCUGCGGUUUCGCUGCGGUUUCAGCCACCGCCGCGGAGCGCCCGGAGUCCGCUGGGGUCGGUCGGCAG
Molecule: long non-coding RNA, 3490 nt
Organism: Gallus gallus (chicken)
Lineage: Eukaryota; Metazoa; Chordata; Aves; Galliformes; Phasianidae
Source: Ensembl